This 403-nucleotide ribosomal RNA is filed under the name uncultured bacterium. RNAcentral describes it as "bacterial SSU rRNA". It matches the Rfam family "Bacterial small subunit ribosomal RNA", at positions 28 to 419 of the family's 1533-position model. The record is from RNAcentral.
GAUGAACGCUAGCGACAGGCCUAACACAUGCAAGUCGAGGGGCAGCAUGGUAUCAGCUUGCUGAUACCGAUGGCGACCGGCGCACGGGUGAGUAACGCGUAUGUAAUCUGCCUGUAACAGAGGGAUAACCCGGAGAAAUCCGGCCUAAUACCUCAUAGCACAUAUUAUUCGCAUGAGUUUUAUGUUAAAGAGACUCGGUUACAGAUGAACAUGCGUUCCAUUAGCUGGUUGGCGGGGUAACGGCCCACCAAGGCAACGAUGGAUAGGGGUUCUGAGAGGAAGGUCCCCCANACUGGUACUGAGACACGGACCAGACGUCCUACGGGGAGGCAGCAGUGAGGAACUAUUGGGUCAAUGGGCGAGAGCCUGAACCAGCCAAGUCGCGUGGAGGAAGACGGGCCCU